Molecule: long non-coding RNA, 280 nt
Organism: Triticum aestivum (bread wheat)
Lineage: Eukaryota; Viridiplantae; Streptophyta; Magnoliopsida; Poales; Poaceae
Exons: 3
Source: RefSeq, a predicted model, not a curated record
AGAAUGGGAUUUAUAGCAUAUAUGCUCUAUGUGCAGCUGAUGAAGCUUUGAGAGAUCAAAAUUGGUUGCCUUCGGAAAAUAAGAAGAAGGAAAGAACGGGUGUUUCAAUUGGUGGGGGAAUCGGAAGCAUCUCAGACAUUUUAAAUGCAUGACUGCUGAUUGCUGAAAAUGAAAUAUGCAGUUAUGGAUCCAUUCUAUAGUUGGAAUAUGAGACUCCAUAUGUGUGUGUAUGUUUAUUCUUGCUUGAAUCUGGUGCUGAAGGUGUGAACAGGUGAGUCCU